UGGGAAUACUGGUCCAGGAGGAGAAAAC
Molecule: non-coding RNA, 28 nt
Filed under: Cricetulus griseus (Chinese hamster)
Lineage: Eukaryota; Metazoa; Chordata; Mammalia; Rodentia; Cricetidae
Source: RNAcentral